Molecule: ribosomal RNA, 440 nt
Filed under: uncultured bacterium
Lineage: Bacteria
Description: partial 16S ribosomal RNA
Rfam family: Bacterial small subunit ribosomal RNA
Source: RNAcentral
CCUACGGGGGGCAGCAGUAGGGAAUAUUGCUCAAUGGGGGAAACCCUGAAGCAGCAACGCCGCGUGGAGGAUGAAGGUUUUCAGAUUGUAAACUCCUUUUGUUAGAGAAGAUAAUGACGGUAUCUAACGAAUAAGCACCGGAUAACUCCGUGCCAGCAGCCGCGGUAAUACGGAGGGUGCAAGCGUUACUCGGAAUCACUGGGCGUAAAGAGCGCGUAGGCGGGAUAGCAAGUCAGAUGUGAAAUCCUAGGGCUUAACCAUAGAACGGCAUUUGAAACUGUUAUUCUAGAGUAUGGGAGAGGUAGGUGGAAUUCUUGGUGUAGGGGUAAAAUCCGUAGAGAUCAAGAGGAAUACUCAUUGCGAAGGCGACCUGCUAGAACAUAACUGACGCUGAUGCGCGAAAGCGUGGGGAGCAAACAGGAUUAGAUACCCCGGUAGUC